UAUAAGGGAUUUUGAGUUCUUACUUGCGUUAUUUGACCACUCGUCUUAUUCAAAAAUUUUUUGAAAUUAUUAUUAUUAUUGUUGUGACUUACUUUAUUAUCCAAAGUACUUUAAGCAUAACUUUUCUUUUUUAUAUUUGCACAAAUUUUUUAAAUAAGACGAGUGGUCAAACAGUACAAACAAAAACUCAAAAUCUCUUAUA
This is a microRNA precursor of Oryza sativa Indica Group (long-grained rice), 202 nucleotides long. It matches the Rfam family "MIR812 microRNA precursor family". The record is from Rfam. NCBI's taxonomy places the organism in Eukaryota, Viridiplantae, Streptophyta, Magnoliopsida, Poales, Poaceae.